This 525-nucleotide long non-coding RNA is filed under the name Capsicum annuum. RNAcentral describes it as "long non-coding RNA (CANN_LNC010201)". Lineage: Eukaryota; Viridiplantae; Streptophyta; Magnoliopsida; Solanales; Solanaceae. The record is from RNAcentral.
AAGAAUCAAUAAUAAGUUUUAAUAACUAGUAUCCAUGUGAGAAAAAAUAAAAUAGAAAAAAGAAAAGGGAAAUAUUUCUUGCUACAUGCCCUAAAUGGAACUAAUUCAGAAAAUCAUUAUAUAAAAAGGGAGGACUGAGAUCAAAUGCCCCAGGGAACUGGAUGGAUUUCCUAUCAUCAUCAAGAGUUGCGGGAAUGGGCAUUUCUUCUUCUACAUCACUUUGGAAGUAGAGCUCAUUUACGUCCUCUAGCUCUAGCUAGAAAAGUUUCAUUUAAGGCUUAGCAUACUUGAGCAUAACCUUUGUGGUCUUCCACAUUCAUCGAAACAUGCAUUCCAAGGAGAACUAUUCAUUCUCCUCAUCAAGUUCUCUAUAGAGAACUGUAUAAACAUGGACAGUGGGAGCUAGAGCUAUGGGCCUAGAAGGGCUCGUACCUUUGGGAGGUAGGUGGGCAUGCUCUAUAUGCCUUCUUAUAGAAACCAUGUUUGCUUCUAGAAUAAUAUUGGAUAUUUAAGGCUAGGAGGAAG